AGCCAUUGAAGAAGCAAAAGCACGACACUCUCUCAGAAUCCUCACUGCCACACCACCGCCGCUAGCACCACCGCCACAAUCUCCUCAAACCCUAGCUCGUCCGCCUACUCCUCCUCCUCCGCCUCUGUCACAGGAUGAGGUCGUCACCAAGCAGAGGAACAAAGAUGAGGUUCGAACCAUGUUUGAGAGCUACCGUCGCAUCAAGCUCUUCUUGUCAAAGAAGGAAGGUGAUUUCAUCCAUGACCUUGAACAGAGCUUCUUCGCUCUCGUCAAUGCUUGCAGAGGUUUGUGAACUGGACUUGAUAUUCAACUUCCAUAAGGGAUCAAACAAUCUUAUUGCAAGCUUGCCAGAAGAUUUAGCAAAUUGUUCCAAAUUGUCCAAGCUAAAUAUGGAGGGAAACAAGUUAACAGAGAUAUCUGAAAAUCUCUUUUCAUCAUGGACCAUGCUUACUGAAUUCAAUGCAUCAAAAAACUUGUUGAAUGGCAUACCAGACAGCAUUGGAGGCCUUUCACGUCUAAUUCGUCUUGAUCUCCACCAGAACACUAGAACAUUCGGAACCAGUAUAAGCAGAAAUUGAGAGAACAGUUAGAUACUCUGGCAUAUUUGAUCAAAGAAUGAUGCAGACUCAAGCAUGCCACCAAAUGAUGGAUUAAGCAGAACAGGAGUACAAGAAGUUUUUCGAAUGGAUCACUGAAAGCCAUGAGGCAAUGAAGGUUAUUUGAAGCUUGGCAUAGUAAAAUACCUCUACUUGUUGAAGCUGUAAAGUCCUUGCUAGAGGAGCCGAGUUUAGGUGUUCGGAAAGCACUUUCUUAGUUAAUUGUGGUUAUGGCUUCACAUUGUUACUUGGUUGGUUCAUCUGGAGAGUUGUUCAUUGAGUAUCUUGUACGACACUGUGCUUUAACUGACAAUAAUCGCGGUGAUCUUGACAUCCUGAAUAAGAGAGUGGAGGUGAAGGAGAAAGAACAAGUCCAACUAAACAACUUGAGUUAGAGUUGCAUGUUUUGAUAUCAAUACCAAGAAAGUGCCAAAGGUGGAGUUGCAUGCUCAUCUCAAUGGAUCCAUUAGAGACUCCACACUCCUUUCUCUGAAGCUGUCUACAAGAGAUCAACAUUUCCUAUUUUCAAAGCACAUAGGUUGGCCCAGGCAUCAAUAGCUGAUUGUGUAUCAGAAACAUUUUCUGCUAUUCGAACACUGAGUUCUCCAUGGUUUAUACUUCAAAUUUAUAGUAACUUUGUGCAUUGUAAAGUGUUGUAUUUGUAAUAGACAGUUGAUAACAGUAAAAUAAAUUAUUACAGGUAAGAUCUUUUGGUGGUGAAAAGCGGCAGAUGUUUACAUUUGCUAAACAGGUUCUGUCUUUCCUGUCAAGUGGGAUAAAGCUUGGUACUUUCAAAUCAUUUAAUGAAUCUAUGACCAGGGUUGCUAUUUAUAUCUCUUUGAUUUCAUUAUAUUGUCUUAGAGGGAACAAAGUUAAGGCGGUUCAAGGACUGGUUAAUACCUUUGGAGGUCUCCGAGGAGCUUUUGCGGCCGUUGACAGGAUCAACUCUGUUUCAUCUUGAGUUCAAGUUGAUGAUUCUCUUGCCUAUGGCUUAGAAAGAGAACUAAGGCAACAGAAAGCAGUGGAUGAUGAGAAAUAUAAAUUAUUCUUCUCUAAUAGUUCAACUGAGAAAAACCAAAUGCAUUACAUGCUGGCACUAAAAACAUCUAGCAAUUUGUUUAGCUUGGCUUGGCUUGGCAAAUAUACAUGCUAAGAGAUUUCUUAUUCCAUAA
Non-coding RNA from Arachis ipaensis, 1768 nucleotides. NCBI's taxonomy places the organism in Eukaryota, Viridiplantae, Streptophyta, Magnoliopsida, Fabales, Fabaceae. The record is from RefSeq and is a predicted model, not a curated record.